GAUUAACGCUAGCGGCAGGCAUAAUACAUGCAAGUUGAACGGCAGCACAGGUAGCAAUACUGGGUGGCGAGUGGCGCACGGGUGCGUAACACGUAUGCAACCUACCCUAUACAGGCGAAUAACCUUUAGAAAUGAGGGCUAAUACGCCGUAGUAUUACAGAUGGGCAUCUAUUUGUAAUUAAAGAUUUAUCGGUAUAGGAUGGGCAUGCGUCCCAUUAGUUAGUUGGUAAGGUAACGGCUUACCAAGACGAUGAUGGGUAGGGGAUCUGAGAGGACUUACCCCCACACUGGUACUGAGACACAGACCAGACUCCUACGGGAGGCAGCAGUAAGGAAUAUUGGGCAAUGGCCGCGAGGCUGACCCAGCCAUGCCGCGUGCAGGAAGACGGCCUUAUGGGUUGUAAACUGCUUUUAUACGGGAAUAAUAGAGUGUACGCGUACAUUUAUGCAAGUAUCGUAUGAAUAAGCAUCGGCUAACUCCGUG
Molecule: ribosomal RNA, 484 nt
Filed under: uncultured bacterium
Lineage: Bacteria
Description: partial 16S ribosomal RNA
Rfam family: Bacterial small subunit ribosomal RNA
Source: RNAcentral